RNAcentral lists this transfer RNA (97 nucleotides) under Scedosporium apiospermum. It matches the Rfam family "tRNA". Rfam says of the family: Transfer RNA (tRNA) molecules are approximately 80 nucleotides in length. The record is from Rfam by way of RNAcentral. Lineage: Eukaryota; Fungi; Ascomycota; Sordariomycetes; Microascales; Microascaceae.
GGGCGUGUGGCGUAGUGGUAUCGCGUUUGCUUCGCAUCAACAUCGGAAAUCCGAUGGCGUCUGUAAAAGGUCACCGGUUCGAUCCCGGUCACGUCCA